Molecule: long non-coding RNA, 1635 nt
Filed under: Venturia canescens
Lineage: Eukaryota; Metazoa; Arthropoda; Insecta; Hymenoptera; Ichneumonidae
Description: uncharacterized LOC122418949
Source: RNAcentral
AUCCGUCACAUCAGUACUCUUCGAAAAACGUUUUUACAGUUUGUUGCUAGUUUUUUUUUCUAAUACUUGUUUGGAAUACGAAGAUUGUACGAUCGAGAAAUGUUCGUUCUCGAUUCCCCCGUUUUUGAAUCUAUUUUUCAGCGCACGAUGCUUCAAAAUUACACGGGAAAUGACUCCAGUCUCCUUGGCGCAGUUUCAACUCGAUCUGCAGUGUCGGCAUUAAGAAACCAAUAAAGGAGGAGCAGUCGCACAAUAACUUUGAAAAUUGGCUGAGAGCAUUGGAUUCGAGCUGAUCAACUGAAGGAUUAAUUAGUUGCGAGGAAGGAAUACACUCAGCAUGUCGGUGCGGACAGCAAAACCCAAUUUCCGGAAAGUUCGCAGCGUUGUAUACUUUCGUCACGUGGUCUACUCCUCGUCAUUUGGUUGAAAAUGGGAGAAACCGCGAUAAUUUCCCUGUCGCAUUAGCACGGAAGACAGUUCCUCAAAGUUGGUCCAUCCAAUUAGUUCGGAUAAUUCAGAGUGAGUCUGCAAGGGAGAGAGAGAGAGGUUGAGUGGCUUGUAGCAAAGAAGCUCGUUCUCCGUCCUCUUCUCAAGUUGAUAAACCGAGCCAUGCAGUGUUCAAUUAGCCUCUGGCCAGCAAUUGGCUUAGCAAGAGUCUCGUGUUUACUUGUGAGGAUUGUCUGGCGCAGGGUGAGCCUGAAAAACCCUUGAAAAUGUCAAUAAAAGGUAAAACUUUUGUACCGAGAAGGAAGAGCGAGUAAGAAAAGUCGAUAAAACGUUUGUGUUUGGGCCGAUAUUAAUUUGCCUGGAACAAAGGUCGUUGAGCGAAAUGGCGGGAAGAGCUUUUCGUUCGCCACAAACCAAUUUUAUUCCAUCGUCAAACGACAAGUUUCGAAGCAAUCGGCGGGCCACGCGGUACGUGCCUCUCGGAAACGAGGAGAAUGAAAACUGAGGAAGAAAGAAAAACGAGAAGGAACGGCACAGGAGGAGGGGGAGAAAAAGGUGCGGAAAGAGGAUGUGCCUGGGUAUGCUAUGUCAGCUCAGCAUGGAAUAAGGCGAUGGAGGAAGAAGAAUUUUUUCCCACAGCAUAUAAAAAACAUAAUUCGCGUCUGGAAAUACGAUUGGUCGUCCCCCAACACUCGACGUUCUCCAACUAUAAAUAUCUACAUUACGAAAUUCUACUCACUCCUUCUAUUAUUCGUCGUUUCACCGCACUUGACAUUCCCUCGGAGGGAGAGAGCGCUGUGUCGCGGAAAAUACUGCGUUACCGUAUAGCUUGAAAAUGAAAAUGUAGCACGGCGUGCUUCUCUCGCUCGUUCCAAUAACUCGCGAAGGAAAACGCGAGGGAACGAACAGCCUGGGCUCGACUUCUCUCACAGCAUCCCUGAAGUGACAGAUGCGCGCCUUCCGUGCUGCAGACCCGUCGUACGUGCUGUCACGAACGGCGUUACUUUACAGGCGUUCUCUUACAAUAUACGUAUGUACAGACACAUUAUGGAUUUGACUUAUUCGCAAGCGCUCGGAGCAACCUCGUGUCGUGUAAGACGUGGUAAUACGCGGCUUACUCUUGUUCUAUCUCGAUCAUUCCACGUCUCAGGCAUCGUAAAAUAUACUGAAAUUUUACCUGAUUUCAUA